AACCUUAUCUAGCGCUGGGUAUAAGCACGAUCCACAGGGUGCUUGCCCCAGACUAAGACCCACCAUUGCACUUCGGAGCGGUGAACGCGACUAUCAUUCGGAGGUAAUUUGGGUGCGACAAUGUCUUCCAUUGGGGCAUGCCCUCCUCUUCUCAUGCCCCU
Molecule: small nuclear RNA, 161 nt
Organism: Folsomia candida
Lineage: Eukaryota; Metazoa; Arthropoda; Collembola; Entomobryomorpha; Isotomidae
Product: U1 spliceosomal RNA
Exons: 1
Source: RefSeq, a predicted model, not a curated record